GACGAACGCUGGCGGCGUGCCUAAUACAUGCAAGUAGAACGCUGAAGGAGGAGCUUGCUUCUCUGGAUGAGUUGCGAACGGGUGAGUAACGCGUAGGUAACCUGCCUGGUAGCGGGGGAUAACUAUUGGAAACGAUAGCUAAUACCGCAUAAGAGUAGAUGUUGCAUGACAUUUGCUUAAAAGGUGCAAUUGCAUCACUACCAGAUGGACCUGCGUUGUAUUAGCUAGUUGGUGGGGUAACGGCUCACCAAGGCGACGAUACAUAGCCGACCUGGGAGGGGGAUCGGCCACACUGGGACUGAGACACGGCCCAGACUCCUGCGGGAGGCAGCAGUAGGGAAUCUUCGGCAAUGGACGGAAGUCUGACCGAGCAACGCCGCGUGAGUGAAGAAGGUUUUCGGAUCGUAAAGCUCUGUUGUAAGAGAAGAACGAGUGUGAGAGUGGAAAGUUCACACUGUGACGGUAUCUUACCAGAAAGGGACGGCUAACUACGUG
Molecule: ribosomal RNA, 495 nt
Filed under: uncultured bacterium
Lineage: Bacteria
Description: partial 16S ribosomal RNA
Rfam family: Bacterial small subunit ribosomal RNA
Source: RNAcentral